GACGAACGCUGGCGGCGCGCCUAACACAUGCAAGUCGAACGAGCGAGCGAGAGCUUGCUUUCUUGAUCGAGUGUCGAACGGGUGAGUAACGCGUGAGGAACCUGCCUCAAAGAGGGGGACAACAGUUGGAAACGACUGCUAAUACCGCAUAUGCCCACGGUGCCGCAUGGCACAGAUGGAAAAGGAGCAAUCGGCUGUGAGCUGGCCUCGCUUCCGAUUAGCUGGUUGGUGAGGUACCGGCCCACCAAGGCGACGGUGGGUGGCCGGAAGGGGAGGUUGACACGCCAGAAUGGAGAUGCGGCACAGACCAGAACGGUACGCAGCGGAGCAGUGGAGAAUAUUGCACGCUGGAGGAAAAUGUGAUGACGCGACGCCGGGGAGGGGAAGAAGGUCUUCGGAUUGUAAACUCCUGUUGUUGGGGAAGAAAAUGACGGUACCCAAAAAGGAAGUGACGGCUAACUACGUG
This 466-nucleotide ribosomal RNA is filed under the name uncultured bacterium. Its description in RNAcentral is "partial 16S ribosomal RNA". It matches the Rfam family "Bacterial small subunit ribosomal RNA", at positions 28 to 507 of the family's 1533-position model. The record is from RNAcentral.